ACCAGGAUGGCCGAGCGGUUCCAAUGGACAAAAGAUCCAAUGGAUCCAAUGGACAAAAGUCCUCGUGGGUUCAAACCCCACUCCUGGUA
Non-coding RNA from Ameiurus melas (black bullhead), 89 nucleotides. The record is from the annotation of a GenBank genome assembly. NCBI's taxonomy places the organism in Eukaryota, Metazoa, Chordata, Actinopteri, Siluriformes, Ictaluridae.